GUGCCAGCAGCCGCGGUAAUACGAAGGGGGCUAGCGUUGUUCGGAAUCACUGGGCGUAAAGGGCGCGUAGGCGGGCUCUUAAGUCGAGGGUGAAAUCCUGUGGCUCAACCACAGAACGGCCUUCGAUACUGAGAGCCUCGAGUUCGAGAGAGGUUGGUGGAACUGCGAGUGUAGAGGUGAAAUUCGUAGAUAUUCGCAAGAACACCAGUGGCGAAGGCGGCCAACUGGCUCGAUACUGACGCUGAGGCGCGAAAGCGUGGGGAGCAAACAGGAUUAGAAACCCUGGUAGUCC
RNAcentral lists this ribosomal RNA (292 nucleotides) under uncultured bacterium. Its description in RNAcentral is "partial 16S ribosomal RNA". It matches the Rfam family "Bacterial small subunit ribosomal RNA", at positions 505 to 796 of the family's 1533-position model. The record is from RNAcentral.